Molecule: long non-coding RNA, 370 nt
Filed under: Micromonas commoda
Lineage: Eukaryota; Viridiplantae; Chlorophyta; Mamiellophyceae; Mamiellales; Mamiellaceae
Description: long non-coding RNA (MCOM_LNC000153)
Source: RNAcentral
UCUGUUUUCCAGUCACAUCCAUUCACAAAUGUAGGGACAUGCUCGAAGCCACUUUACGGCGCAAAUGUUGCUGUUCUUUUGUAUGGACAAGCGCGCACCUUGAAUCGCACGCAUUGUAGCAUAUCUGAACACAUCCUCGCCCCACUCCUUAACGCCAGUCACAAGGUUCACGUCUUCGUAGUCGGCGAGUUGGACGGCGAUAGCUGGCAAUACGAAGCUUACCUGGAUCAAAUAUCGAAACGAGGGAUCAGAUAUCACAUCGAGAUGCAAGAAGUGCAUCUGGGCGCAACACAGUGCGCGAGAGCCCUGGAUGAAAAGUAUGAAAAACGCAUGCAACGAUUAGUCAAAGAAGGGAACUCGUAUGCCGCAG